GAUGAACGCUAGCUACAGGCUUAACACAUGCAAGUCGAGGGGUAACAAGAGAAAAGCUUGCUUUUCUUGUUGACGACCGGCGCACGGGUGAGUAACGCGUAUCCAACCUGCCUAUAACUAGGGAAUAACCUUGCGAAAGUAAGACUAAUACCCUAUGAUUUCCUUUGAUGACAUCAGAUUAGGAAUAAAGAUUUAUCGGUUAUAGAUGGGGAUGCGUCUGAUUAGCUUGUUGGAGGGGUAACGGCCCACCAAGGCAACGAUCAGUAGGGGUUCUGAGAGGAAGGUCCCCCACAUUGGAACUGAGAAACGAUCCAAACUCCUACGGGAGGCAGCAGUGAGGAAUAUUGGUCAAUGGGCGGAAGCCUGAACCAGCCAAGUAGCGUGCAGGAUGACGGCCCUAUGGGUUGUAAACUGCUUUUAUACAGGAAUAAAGUUAGCCACGUGUGGUUAUUUGUAGGUACUGUAUGAAUAAGGACCGGCUAAUUCCGUGCCAGCCGCCGCGGUAA
RNAcentral lists this ribosomal RNA (506 nucleotides) under uncultured bacterium. RNAcentral describes it as "partial 16S ribosomal RNA". It matches the Rfam family "Bacterial small subunit ribosomal RNA", at positions 28 to 523 of the family's 1533-position model. The record is from RNAcentral.